CGCUGGCGGCAGGCCUAACACAUGCAAGUCGAGCGGAUGAAGGGAGCUUGCUUCUGGAUUCAGCGGCGGACGGGUGAGUAAUGCCUAGGAAUCUGCCUGGUAGUGGGGGACAACGUUUCGAAAGGAACGCUAAUACCGCAUACGUCCUACGGGAGAAAGCAGGGGACCUUCGGGCCUUGCGCUAUCAGAUGAGCCUAGGUCGGAUUAGCUAGUUGGUGAGGUAAUGGCUCACCAAGGCGACGAUCCGUAACUGGUCUGAGAGGAUGAUCAGUCACACUGGAACUGAGACACGGUCCAGACUCCUACGGGAGGCAGCAGUGGGGAAUAUUGGACAAUGGGCGAAAGCCUGAUCCAGCCAUGCCGCGUGUGUGAAGAAGGUCUUCGGAUUGUAAAGCACUUUAAGUUGGGAGGAAGGGUUGUAGAUUAAUACUCUGCAAUUUUGACGUUACCGACAGAAUAAGCACCGGCU
RNAcentral lists this ribosomal RNA (469 nucleotides) under uncultured bacterium. RNAcentral describes it as "bacterial SSU rRNA". It matches the Rfam family "Bacterial small subunit ribosomal RNA", at positions 34 to 498 of the family's 1533-position model. The record is from RNAcentral.